Molecule: ribosomal RNA, 372 nt
Filed under: uncultured bacterium
Lineage: Bacteria
Description: bacterial SSU rRNA
Rfam family: Bacterial small subunit ribosomal RNA
Source: RNAcentral
UAAUACGUAGGUGGCAAGCGUUGUCCGGAUUUACUGGGCGUAAAGCGUAUGCAGGCGGGUGUGUAAGUAGGGAGUGAAAGGUUGGGGCUCAACCCUAACACGGCUCCCUAUACUGCACGUCUCGAGGAUCGGAGAGGAAGAGGGAACGACACGUGUAGCGGUGAAAUGCGUUGAGAUGUGUCGGAACACCAAUGGCGAAAGCACUCUUCUGGACGAUGCCUGACGCUGAGAUACGAAAGCCAAGGGAGCGAACAGGAUUAGAUACCCUGGUAGUCUUGGCCAUAAACGAUGCUCACUAGGUGUCGGGGGUUACCCUCGGUGCCGCAGCUAACGCAUUAAGUGAGCCGCCUGGGGACUACGGCCGCAAGGUUG